This 253-nucleotide ribosomal RNA is filed under the name uncultured bacterium. RNAcentral describes it as "partial 16S ribosomal RNA". It matches the Rfam family "Bacterial small subunit ribosomal RNA", at positions 524 to 776 of the family's 1533-position model. The record is from RNAcentral.
UACAGAGGGUGCAAGCGUUAAUCGGAAUUACUGGGCGUAAAGCGUGCGUAGACGGUUACAUAAGUCGGGUGUGAAAGCCCCGGGCUCAACCUGGGAAUUGCAUUCGAGACUGCGUAGCUAGGGUGCGGAAGAGGGAAGCGGAAUUUCCGGUGUAGCGGUGGAAUGCGUAGAUAUCGGAAGGAACACCAGUGGCGAAAGCGGCUUCCUGGUCCAGCACCGACGUUCAGGCACGAAAGCGUGGGGAGCAAACAGG